UGAGGAAUAUUGGUCAAUGGGCGGGAGCCUGAACCAGCCAAGUCGCGUGAGGGAAGACGGCCCUACGGGUUGUAAACCUCUUUUGUCAGGGAGCAAAAAAGAGUAUGUAUACUUAGAUGAGAGUACCUGAAGAAAAAGCAUCGGCUAACUCCGUGCCAGCAGCCGCGGUAAUACGGAGGAUGCGAGCGUUAUCCGGAUUUAUUGGGUUUAAAGGGUGCGCAGGCGGGAUGUUAAGUCAGCGGUAAAAUUUCGGGGCUCAACCUCGACGAGCCGUUGAAACUGACGUUCUUGAGUGGACGAGAAGUAUGCGGAAUGCGUAGUGUAGCGGUGAAAUGCAUAGAUAUUACGCAGAACUCCGAUUGCGAAGGCAGCAUACCGGCGUCCAACUGACGCUCAUGCACGAAAGCGUGGGUAUCGAACAGG
Molecule: ribosomal RNA, 423 nt
Filed under: uncultured prokaryote
Also listed under: 1 other name
Description: bacterial SSU rRNA
Rfam family: Bacterial small subunit ribosomal RNA
Source: RNAcentral